GACGAACGCUGGCGGCGUGCUUAACACAUGCAAGUCGAACGAAAAGAGGGAAAGAGCUUGCUCUUUCCGGAAUUGAGUGGCAAACGGGUGAGUAACACGUAAACAACCUGCCUUCAGGAUGGGGACAACAGACGGAAACGACUGCUAAUACCGAAUAAGUUCCAAGGGCCGCAUGGCCCAUGGAAGAAAAGGUGGCCUCUACCUGUAAGCUAUCGCCUGAAGAGGGGUUUGCGUCUGAUUAGCUGGUUGGAGGGGUAACGGCCCACCAAGGCGACGAUCAGUAGCCGGUCUGAGAGGAUGAACGGCCACACUGGAACUGAGACACGGUCCAGACUCCUACGGGAGGCAGCAGUGGGGAAUCUUCCGCAAUGGGCGAAAGCCUGACGGAGCAACGCCGCGUGAGUGAUGACGGCCUUCGGGUUGUAAAACUCUGUGAUCCGGGACGAAAAGGCAGAGUGCGAAGAACAAACUGCAUUGACGGUACCGGAAAAGCAAGCCACGGCUAACUACGUGCCAGCAGCCGCGGUAAUACGUAGGUGGCAAGCGUUGUCCGGAAUUAUUGGGCGUAAAGCGCGCGCAGGCGGCUUCCCAAGUCCCUCUUAAAAGUGCGGGGCUUAACCCCGUGAUGGGAAGGAAACUGGGAAGCUGGAGUAUCGGAGAGGAAAGUGGAAUUCCUAGUGUAGCGGUGAAAUGCGUAGAGAUUAGGAAGAACACCGGUGGCGAAGGCGACUUUCUGGACGAAAACUGACGCUGAGGCGCGAAAGCGUGGGGAGCAAACAGG
RNAcentral lists this ribosomal RNA (781 nucleotides) under uncultured Dialister sp. RNAcentral's name for it is "bacterial SSU rRNA". It matches the Rfam family "Bacterial small subunit ribosomal RNA", at positions 28 to 776 of the family's 1533-position model. The record is from RNAcentral. Lineage: Bacteria; Bacillati; Bacillota; Negativicutes; Veillonellales; Veillonellaceae.